GGAUCAGUAGGUUGGUCGUGCCACCGGUACGUACUGGUCUCACUGAUUCCUCCUUCCUGAAGAACCGUAAUGCCAUUAAUUUGGUGCUGCGGGGAAACAGGACUGUUACUUUGAAAAAAUUAGAGUGUUUAAAGCAAGCUAACGCUUGAAUACAUUAGCAUGGAAUAAUGAAAUAGGACGAUCGAUCCUAUUUUGUUGGUUUCUAGGAUUGACGUA
This 216-nucleotide ribosomal RNA is filed under the name Glomeromycotina sp. RNAcentral describes it as "partial small subunit ribosomal RNA". The stretch from base 40 to 216 matches the Rfam family "Eukaryotic small subunit ribosomal RNA", at positions 686 to 864 of the family's 1831-position model. The record is from RNAcentral. Lineage: Eukaryota; Fungi; Glomeromycota.